RNAcentral lists this long non-coding RNA (1357 nucleotides) under Heterocephalus glaber (naked mole-rat). RNAcentral describes it as "lncRNA (ENSHGLG00000034373.1)". Lineage: Eukaryota; Metazoa; Chordata; Mammalia; Rodentia; Bathyergidae. The record is from RNAcentral.
GCUCCACUUGCUCCAUCCUGUUCCAGGGCCUGGGAAGCUAAACUGUAUGAAAUGCAGAAACAGGAUCCAGUGCUCUAUGCCUUCUGAUUGAGUUUGGCCAAUGGAAAGUCCCUGAAAAGAGACUGGAAUUUGAAGAAGAAAGGUAUCCGUGUAUUUAUUUUCCCAGUUCCUUUCCUCCGGGAUUUCUGCACAUGACUUUCUCUCAUGCUGAGGAUGGGAUCAAGGACAUCACACAUUGUAGGAAGGGGGAUCAAAGGCUGGGAACUCUACAAACCAAUAAAAAUCCACUUCAAUGAGGAAAGCAGAAUUUAUAUGGCCAAGGGCACAGGACUUACUGCACAAGUACACAGAUGAAGAUCAACUGUGGCACUAGAAUUUUACCAUAUGUUUUUCAACUGCUCUUUAUGAAAGAAUAUCUAUUUCCAUUUUUAUUUUAUAGUACUAUAUUUGACUCUUUUGUUCACCAUUGAGGAUGGAACUCCAGGGUCUCUCACAUGGAGUCAGCAAACCUAUUCCAUGGAUGGUUGAGUUGAGGUCCCAACCUUCUUUUUGGGGAAUCUCCUCAGACCCCAUCCAGCAACAACAUCACAGACAAGGACAACAUGAAAGAAAAAACAAGCUGCCAAGCAGCGGAUCAGUGGAUGCAAAGGCUACCUUUUUUCAGAGUCUGGAUUUCAGCAAGCUUUGUAGGAUGAAGUAAUCAUACAACCAGCUGUGGAAACUAAAUAAACCUUUUCAUAGUUUCCACUUUUGCAGCUGGGGAAAAGCAUAUAAAACAAAGGUGAAUUUGGUCUGGGAGCAUAAUGUUAAUUAAAGCUGGGCUUUCAAGGAUUGACACACAUUAUUCUUUAGAGAAGGGUUGAUUAUCUCUACUACUUCUCCACUUAACAGAUCAACCUGGCUUAUUAUUAAACCUGAAAAGACUAUGUGGCACCUCAAAGUGGAUUACUCCUACCUUGGUGCUGUGUACUCAUCCACUAAAGCUCUCAUAGCAAAUAUUGAAAUUAUUUAUUCCAUCCAAUCAGUAGCUAGAAAAUACUUUGCAGUCAUACAAUUAGCUAAUGUGUUUUUUUUCAAUGAUUGUUUCAAUAACCUCUAAACUGCAGUUUACUUUCACCUCUGAAGGGACACAAUUCACCUUAACCAGGAUACCUAUGAGGUGUCUCAACAGCCCUGCUGUUACACACAACCUUAUGCACAACAGCUUAACCAUAUCCAACUUUCCUCAGGAGCAUAGGGAUGACAUCAAAAUAUUGACAUCUUCCUCUAAGGAGGCUCAACCCACCUAUUUAGGUCAUGUGAACACAGAAGAGCUCACCAAAAGGGGAGGGACACUGCCUCAGACAUAGUACAAGGC